GGAAUAUUGGACAAUGGGGGCAACCCUGAUCCAGCCAUGCCGCGUGAGUGAUGAAGGCCUUCGGGUUGUAAAGCUCUUUUGGCGGGGACGAUGAUGACGGUACCCGCAGAAUAAGCCCCGGCUAACUUCGUGCCAGCAGCCGCGGUAAGACGAAGGGGGCUAGCGUUGUUCGGAAUUACUGGGCGUAAAGCGCGUGUAGGCGGUUAUUCAAGUCAGGUGUGAAAGCCUUGAGCUCAACUCAAGAAAUGCACUUGAUACUGGAUGACUAGAGGACCGGAGAGGAUAGUGGAAUUCCCAGUGUAGUGGUGAAAUACGUAGAGAUUGGGAAGAACACCAGUGGCGAAGGCGGCUAUCUGGACGGUUACUGACGCUAAGACGCGAAAGCGUGGGGAGCAAACA
This 399-nucleotide ribosomal RNA is filed under the name uncultured bacterium. RNAcentral describes it as "bacterial SSU rRNA". It matches the Rfam family "Bacterial small subunit ribosomal RNA", at positions 358 to 774 of the family's 1533-position model. The record is from RNAcentral.